RNAcentral lists this ribosomal RNA (253 nucleotides) under uncultured bacterium. RNAcentral's name for it is "partial 16S ribosomal RNA". It matches the Rfam family "Bacterial small subunit ribosomal RNA", at positions 524 to 776 of the family's 1533-position model. The record is from RNAcentral.
GACGUAGGGCGCGAGCGUUGUCCGGAUUUAUUGGGCGUAAAGAGCUCGUAGGCGGCUUGUCGCGUCGUUCGUGAAAACCUGCAGCUCAACUGCAGGCUUGCGGUCGAUACGGGCAGGCUGGAGUUCGGUAGGGGAGAUCGGAAUUCCUGGUGUAGCGGUGAAAUGCGCAGAUAUCAGGAGGAACACCGGUGGCGAAGGCGGAUCUCUGGGCCUUACCUGACGCUCAGGCGCGAAAGCUAGGGGAGCGAACAGG